CACACCUGUUUAAUCCCAGAGCAUGGGAAUGGAAUUGGAGAGGCACUGUGGGGACUGUCAGGCCAAGAGGCGUUAGAGAUGGAUCGUGCGGCCCGAGGACUUCUGCAGCAACAUGGGGAGGUUAAAAGGCAGGUGGUGCAGCAGGAAUCCCAGGAGAAUCAGAACUGAACGAAUAUCUGCUUGAGAGCACAUAGCAAGAAAAAACACUCCCUGUGAAGACUGGAAAGGGGUUGUGUCCGGCCCCUUGCUGCCCCAGCUGUUGGGUAAGGAGGCCCAGUGCCCCCAGCUCCCUGGAGAGGCUGGACCCGCUGUUGCGGAUGCUCCUGUCUGAUGAUGAAAUUCAGGUCCAGACAGGUGAGGGCUUGCUCAGGAUCCUACAGCGACCUCCUUUUCUGGACCCCCCGGUCCUGCCA
Long non-coding RNA from Balaenoptera ricei (Rice's whale), 413 nucleotides. RefSeq lists it as uncharacterized. NCBI's taxonomy places the organism in Eukaryota, Metazoa, Chordata, Mammalia, Artiodactyla, Balaenopteridae. The record is from RefSeq and is a predicted model, not a curated record. The transcript is spliced from 4 exons.